UAAAAUUAUAGUUGAAUUUUGCAUUAGUCUGAAUUUAUUUAUGGAUUUAAAACAAAAUUGACCUCAGAGAGAUCAGCAAUUUGGGUUUAAUUAUCAUUUUAAUUAUGUAACAUAGGAACCAAUUAUUUGUAUUUCAAUCACAAAUGGAUACCAAAUAUGAAAGGUGUCAAAGUCUGGCACUCCGAUUGUUUUCCUCAAACCGGGUUGACUCGCCGGGUCUUCCCCUUUGUAGUACUACGAUAAUUCCUCAAACAUCCACGGCUCCAGCAUUUUGUCGACUCUGUCGCUUAACGAGACGUCCACCCGUGGAAAGGUCGAGACCGGCUUCGAUACCCCACAGAACCAUCGAGUUCGUGAAUCAGGAUCUUGUCUUUACCACGCCCAGGCGAAGACGAUCCUGCCUUUCUGGCGGCGGUGAAAUUGAUGGACGGAGGAAUCAACCUCUUGGUUAUGUCUCCAUAUGCGACAAUAGCCGUAAGCUGAUAAAGAAAAGCAGAUCCCUUACUUUGGUCUUGUGCAAACUUUUAAUUCCAUUAUAUCUGCAAGUGUAUGAUAACAUUAAGGCCUUUUUGAGAAGUUUGUAAAAUGGAAGCAAAGAAUAUGGAGGAAGAAAAAGUUUUACAAAAUUCCUUUCUUUCUCUUGUUUGAGAAGAAAGACAAGUAGAGAAGGAAAAUGGAAAAAGAAAAUUCUUCAUUGGGUCCACCAACAUUUUCCUUCUAAGUUUGGCACGAAAGUGGAUUAAAUCAUCCUUAACACUAUUGUCGUCUUCUUCGCUGUUCAAAGUUUGCUUCAACUCGCUACUCUCUGAUCUUUGCGAGAAAGAAACAAUGGCUGACAUGAUCCUCAGCUUCGUGGUGGAUGAAACUCAGUCCAGGGCGCUUUCACUCAUUUCCGAUGAAAUCGACCUUGCUUGGAAUGUCAAAAAGGACUUGAAAGAGCUUCAGGAAUCGCUCAGCAUGAUUCGUGCUGUGCUUCAAGA
Molecule: unclassified non-coding RNA, 980 nt
Filed under: Hevea brasiliensis (rubber tree)
Lineage: Eukaryota; Viridiplantae; Streptophyta; Magnoliopsida; Malpighiales; Euphorbiaceae
Source: RNAcentral